This 297-nucleotide ribosomal RNA is filed under the name uncultured Pseudomonadota bacterium. RNAcentral describes it as "uncultured proteobacterium partial 16S ribosomal RNA". It matches the Rfam family "Bacterial small subunit ribosomal RNA", at positions 29 to 351 of the family's 1533-position model. Lineage: Bacteria; Pseudomonadati; Pseudomonadota. The record is from RNAcentral.
AACGAACGCUGGCGGCAGGCUUAACACAUGCAAGUCGAACGAACGUAGCAAUACGUUAGUGGCAGACGGGUGAGUAACGCGUGGGAAUAUGCCCUUUAGUUCGGAAUAACCAAGGGAAACUUUGGCUAAUACCGGAUAAUCCCGAGAGGGGAAAGAUUUAUCGCUGAAGGAGUAGCCCGCGUCUGAUUAGCUAGUUGGUGAGGUAAUGGCUCACCAAGGCGACGAUCAGUAGCUGGUCUGAGAGGAUGAUCAGCCACACUGGGACUGAGACACGGCCCAGACUCCUACGGGUGGCUG